Long non-coding RNA from Armigeres subalbatus, 518 nucleotides. RefSeq lists it as uncharacterized. The record is from RefSeq and is a predicted model, not a curated record. The transcript has 2 exons. Lineage: Eukaryota; Metazoa; Arthropoda; Insecta; Diptera; Culicidae.
UACUAUCUCGCCUCUAUCCCCAUUAUCGCAACGUAAAUACAAGAACAAAACAAAUUUUUUUUUCAACCCUUUCAACCGGACAAGUGAGGCCUGGCGUGACAAAAGUGUCUAAGCCGAAAAGUGUUGUUUAGCGGAUAAUUAGUGGUGCCGGGAACCAAAAAACAGUGUCUAAUUGUGUUGUAUAGCUAUGUCCUGUUUUGUUUUUAGGCCAGGCUGGCCAGACAGUCUAGGCCUCGGUCUAGGCUAUAAUCAUCGCAAAAAAUGCCAAAUCACCAGAAAAGGCACUGCCCACCGAACGGAACCUGGAGAUAAUUUUAUGUUUCGGGAUUUGUAGCUGACGGAAAAUUAUGCUGCGGUCAAAGGUACGGUGUCUACAUGCCUACGAUGCGCACCACGAUAAGAGGCUACAGUUUGCUACAAUACCUUGACGUACUUAUAGUGCUGCCUUAAAAUUGCAUUCUGCCUCAACUAAAAUGCUGAAAAAAGGUUCUCAAAAAAUAAAAAAAUAAAAACUUCUA